UCUAGAAUAAACUAUGUGGCUUUGGAACCAAAAUUCAGUAGAACUUCAGAUGGUAUGUUGGGAACGGUUCCUCUAUUAAUGUUUUCUCUCAUGCUUGGCAAUCUCUCCCUCUUCUUAACUAACCCAGAAAAAGAACACACAAUAAUAAUAAUUUCUCCCAUAUAAUAUUUAGAGAGGUUAGAGGAGGAUGAAGCACUUCAGCCAAACUCACCGGCCUUUGAGAUGGUGAAGAGGUAAGGAGAGAGACGAGCCUUUCUGAUGAGGGAGAAAGAAGAGGAGGGGGGAGGGGA
RNAcentral lists this long non-coding RNA (290 nucleotides) under Elaeis guineensis (African oil palm). RNAcentral's name for it is "long non-coding RNA (EGUI_LNC030338)". The record is from RNAcentral. Lineage: Eukaryota; Viridiplantae; Streptophyta; Magnoliopsida; Arecales; Arecaceae.